Molecule: ribosomal RNA, 305 nt
Filed under: uncultured bacterium
Lineage: Bacteria
Description: partial 16S ribosomal RNA
Rfam family: Bacterial small subunit ribosomal RNA
Source: RNAcentral
CCUACGGGGGGCAGCAGUGGGGGAUAUUGCACAGUGGGGGAAACCCUGAUGCAGCGACGCCGCGUGGGUGAAGAAGCGCCUCGGCGCGUAAAGCCCUGUCAGCAGGGAAGAAAAUGACGGUACCUGAAGAAGAAGCCCCGGCUAACUACGUGCCAGCAGCCGCGGUAAUACGUAGGGGGCAAGCGUUAUCCGGAUUUACUGGGUGUAAAGGGGGCGCAGACGGCGAUGCAAGCCAGGAGUGAAAGCCCGGGGCCCAACCCCGGGACUGCUCUUGGCACUGCGUGGCUAGAGUGCAGGAGGGGGAG